UUGUACACACCGCCCGUCACACCACGAGAGUUUGUAACACCCGAAGUCGGUGAGGUAACCUUUAUGGAGCCAGCCGCCGAAGGUGGGACAGAUGAUUGGGGUGAAGUCGUAACAAGGUAGCCGUAUCGGAAGGUGCGGCUGGAUCACCUCCUUUCU
RNAcentral lists this ribosomal RNA (156 nucleotides) under Bacillus amyloliquefaciens. RNAcentral describes it as "partial 16S ribosomal RNA". It matches the Rfam family "Bacterial small subunit ribosomal RNA", at positions 1381 to 1533 of the family's 1533-position model. The record is from RNAcentral. Lineage: Bacteria; Bacillati; Bacillota; Bacilli; Caryophanales; Bacillaceae.